RNAcentral lists this ribosomal RNA (253 nucleotides) under uncultured bacterium. RNAcentral describes it as "partial 16S ribosomal RNA". It matches the Rfam family "Bacterial small subunit ribosomal RNA", at positions 524 to 776 of the family's 1533-position model. The record is from RNAcentral.
UACGUAGGGUGCGCGCGUUGUCCGGAAUUAUUGGGCGUAAAGAGCUCGUAGGCGGUUUGUCGCGUCUGCUGUGAAAUCUGGGGGCUCAACCCCCAGCCUGCAGUGGGUACGGGCAGACUAGAGUGCGGUAGGGGAGAUUGGAAUUCCUGGUGUAGCGGUGGAAUGCGCAGAUAUCAGGAGGAACACCAAUGGCGAAGGCAGAUCUCUGGGCCGUAACUGACGCUGAGGAGCGAAAGCAUGGGGAGCGAACAGG